Molecule: ribosomal RNA, 460 nt
Filed under: uncultured bacterium
Lineage: Bacteria
Description: partial 16S ribosomal RNA
Rfam family: Bacterial small subunit ribosomal RNA
Source: RNAcentral
CCUACGGGGGGCUGCAGUGAGGAAUAUUGGUCAAUGGUCGGGAGACUGAACCAGCCAAGCCGCGUGAGGGAUGAAGGUACAGAGUAUCGUAAACCUCUUUUGUCAGGGAACAAAGGCGGGGACGUGUCCCCGGAUGAGUGUACCUGAAGAAAAAGCAUCGGCUAACUCCGUGCCAGCAGCCGCGGUAAUACGGAGGAUGCGAGCGUUAUCCGGAUUUAUUGGGUGUAACGGGUGCGCAGGCGGGUCGGUAAGUCAGGCGGCAAAGGCCGGGGCUCAACCCCGGGCCGCCCGUUGAAACUGGCAGUCUCGAGUUGGAGAGAGGUAUGCGGAAUGCGCGGUGUAGCGGUGAAAUGCAUAGAUAUCGCGCAGAACUCCGAUUGCGAAGGCAGCAUGCCGGCUCCACACUGACGCUGAGGCACGAAAGCGUGGGUAUCGAACAGGAUUAGAUACCCGGGUAGUC